AUACGGAGGGUGCGAGCGUUAAUCGGAAUUACUGGGCGUAAAGCGCGCGUAGGCGGUCUGUUAAGUCGGGUGUGAAAGCCCCGGGCUCAACCUGGGAAUGGCAUCCGAUACUGGCAGGCUAGAGUCUGGUAGAGGGAAGUGGAAUUCCGCAUGUAGCGGUGAAAUGCGUAGAUAUGCGGAGGAACACCAGUGGCGAAGGCGGCUUCCUGGACCAAGACUGACGCUGAGGUGCGAAAGCGUGGGGAGCAAACAGGAUUAGAAACCCUUGUAGUCC
RNAcentral lists this ribosomal RNA (274 nucleotides) under uncultured bacterium. RNAcentral describes it as "partial 16S ribosomal RNA". It matches the Rfam family "Bacterial small subunit ribosomal RNA", at positions 523 to 796 of the family's 1533-position model. The record is from RNAcentral.